RNAcentral lists this ribosomal RNA (502 nucleotides) under uncultured bacterium. RNAcentral describes it as "partial 16S ribosomal RNA". It matches the Rfam family "Bacterial small subunit ribosomal RNA", at positions 28 to 507 of the family's 1533-position model. The record is from RNAcentral.
GUUGAACGCUGGCGGCGUGCCUAACACAUGCAAGUCGAGCGGCAGCGGGUUUUACGCUGCAUUCUGGAAGCUCCGGAGGAGUACAGAAGCUUUAUUCACGAGUUGGGAGUAAAAUGUAGGCGAGCGGAGGGCGGCUGAGUAACGCGUAGGAAUUUGCCGCGAAGUGAGGAAUAACUCGCAGAACGGGUAGCUAGUGCCGCAUAUGUCCUACGGGUUAAAUGCUUCGGUAGCUUUGGGCGAAGCCGGCGUUGGAUAAGUUGGUUGGUAGGAUAAUGUGCUACCAAGGCGAGGAUCCACAGCUGGUCUGAGAGGCAGAGCAGCCAGACCUGAACUGAGACACGGUCCAGAAUCCUACGGGAGGCAGCAGUGAGGAAUCUUCCACAAUCGGCGAAAGCCUGAUGGAGCAACGCCGCGUGAAGGAUGAAGGCUUUCGGGUUGUAAACUUCUUUUAUGAGUGAAGAAUAUGACGGUAACUCAUGAAUAAGCACCGGCUAACUACGUG